RNAcentral lists this ribosomal RNA (301 nucleotides) under uncultured bacterium. RNAcentral's name for it is "partial 16S ribosomal RNA". It matches the Rfam family "Bacterial small subunit ribosomal RNA", at positions 509 to 807 of the family's 1533-position model. The record is from RNAcentral.
CAGUAGCCGCGGGAAUACGAAGGGGGUUAGCGUUGCUCGGAAUUACUGGGCGUAAAGGGAGCGUAGGCGGACAUUUAAGUCAGGGGUGAAAUCCCGGGGCUCAACCUCGGAAUUGCCUUUGAUACUGGGUGUCUUGAGUAUGAGAGAGGUAUGUGGAACUCCGAGUGUAGAGGUGAAAUUCGUAGAUAUUCGGAAGAACACCAGUGGCGAAGGCGACAUACUGGCUCAUUACUGACGCUGAGGCUCGAAAGCGUGGGGAGCAAACAGGAUUAGAUACCCGUGUAGUCCCUGUCUCUUAUAC